GUUUGCAAUGUAAUCAGAGUUAAGGGCACUGGCUUUGUCUGCUCAGAGAUUCUUCAGGCCUGGUGAAGAACCUACUUUAACAACGGUAAGCUGACCCCAACUAGUCUCCACAUGCUAUGGUAAUCUUUUUGUGUAAUCUUCUCCCCUUGAGUGUAUGUGGGAAGGUGGACCUGUGACUUGCUUCUAACAAAGAGUAUAUAUCAAAAUAGGUCUCUCCUGUGCUCACAUUUUAUAAGAUUCCUUGCCAGACUUACUUCAAGUCUCUGCACUGCUGGCCUAAAAAGGUGAGCUGAAAGAUAAUAAACUGCCUAUGGAGAGGACUGCGUGGCAGGGAAACAAGCCACCCUGCCAAUCCCCUGCAGGAGCUGAGGGCAGCUCUUAGCACUACAGUUGCAAAAUAAAUAAGCAGGUAAAUUCUGCCAAUAACUUGUGAGAGCUUGGAAACAGAUUCUUCUCCAGUCAAGCCCCAGAAGACAAUGCAACCCAGCCGACACCUUGAUUGCAGCCUUGUGAAAGACCCUGAAACAACCUCAGUGAGAACCCAGCUAAGUCAUUCCUGGACUUCUGAUCCACAGAAACUGUAAGUCUUUAACACUCUACUCAUGAAGAAGUGAGCUUGUAAACGGUCCAAGGCAUGGGAUUGCAAUUUGCUGGGUUCAAAUGAUGCUGCCCCAUCAUUUUCCAGAUGGGUCUCCACAUUCAUAGAGCAACGGAAUGCUACCACACACACGACAGCCUGCUAGGCAGCCCGAGAAGGUCUAUAAACAGAAAUGUUUGGGAAACAGAUCAAAGUAUUUGUCUCCAAGAGGAAAGAGGAAAUGAAGAGAUGGGCUUAGAGAACAAACACACUGGGCUUGAAUUUCAUCCAGAAAUUUUGCCUUUGUAAAGGAAAAGAAAAAUGUUUCCCAGAAUCAUCUUUAAGAACCACUGAAAAGAUUAUUUGAAAAUUAUUGAAAAUCAAAGCAAAUUUCAGCCCAUCAUUGAAUAAAGAAGUUGCCUCUCUGUGAAUAGAAUAAAUAAAAAUCUCUGUGUUUCAGG
Molecule: long non-coding RNA, 1038 nt
Filed under: Homo sapiens (human)
Lineage: Eukaryota; Metazoa; Chordata; Mammalia; Primates; Hominidae
Description: HSALNT0050287
Source: RNAcentral